UGCCUAAAGAGGUUAGGGUUUAGAGGGU
RNAcentral lists this non-coding RNA (28 nucleotides) under Homo sapiens (human). The record is from RNAcentral. Lineage: Eukaryota; Metazoa; Chordata; Mammalia; Primates; Hominidae.